AUGAUGUACAUGAUGUUGUCCUUGAUAGUUAUUUAGAUAAUUGUUACUAAGAAAGUUUAAGGAUAUUUUCUUUUGGCAUGCAUUAACUUCAGCUUGCUCUUUAUUUUUGUUAUGCCUCUGUUUUGUUAAUAGUUUAAGGAUCAAGAAAGACAUGAUAUUAAUGUAUUAACAACUGGUACCUAACAUGGAACAAAACAGCAAAAUAGAAUGGAAGAGUGAAUCAAGAUGAUCUCACUCAAUUUACUGAUAUAGAUGAAAGGUAAUUCAAGAAAGAAAAGAUAAAGGCUGUGAUGGUAUCCAAAUUGUUGUGGUUCUUUUUUUAUUUUUAUAAUUGUGAAUUAGUUUAGUCAUUUUCACAUCCACUACAACAAAAGAGAAAGUGAUUUGACUUUUUAUCUUGCUUCUAACUUUAUACCCAUGUCAAAUGGGAAGCAGCC
RNAcentral lists this long non-coding RNA (437 nucleotides) under Arachis ipaensis. RNAcentral describes it as "long non-coding RNA (AIPA_LNC000961)". The record is from RNAcentral. Lineage: Eukaryota; Viridiplantae; Streptophyta; Magnoliopsida; Fabales; Fabaceae.